GCUGGAAAUGAGAAUUGACAUGCAUAAAUCAAUCAACAAAACAUAUAUACUAUACUAAAGUAUAUACUCAAACUCAUCCAUCAUCCCAUUUGAGACUGACUAGCUCGAGUAUUAAAAGAACGUACGUACGUGUACGUUAGCCUAAAAAGAAGAAGCAGCAGCAGCAGCAGCAGUUGUUUUCCUUAAAAAACACAUCCAUCCAAGUACGUACCAAAGCUUUAACCAAGUCCUGAAAAUGGGGGUAAUUAACUACUACUAUUAUCAACCGGAAACUCAUGCACAUAUAUAUCGGAGUAGUAGUGUGUACGUACCUAUGAUUAUGAUUAAGAAUGAAUACUAGCACUAGCACUAGCACUACAGCAACCAACCAACCAACCAAAAUGCAUCGACUAUAUAAAUAAAUAAUUCAACAAAACAUCCAUCAUCCUACUCCAUCUCCCUCGAUCGGUUGAAAGAAAAAAAAUAGCUUCAUUUAAUUUGUUUUAAAGUUAAUUU
RNAcentral lists this long non-coding RNA (495 nucleotides) under Panax ginseng (ginseng). RNAcentral's name for it is "long non-coding RNA (PGIN_LNC005754)". Lineage: Eukaryota; Viridiplantae; Streptophyta; Magnoliopsida; Apiales; Araliaceae. The record is from RNAcentral.